CAGCAGCCGCGGUAAUACGGAGGGGGCUAGCGUUGUUCGGAAUUACUGGGCGUAAAGCGCACGUAGGCGGCUUUACAAGUCAGAGGUGAAAGCCUGGUGCUCAACACCAGAAUUGCCUUUGAGACUGUAUCGCUUGAACGUCGGAGAGGUGAGUGGAAUUCCGAGUGUAGAGGUGAAAUUCGUAGAUAUUCGGAAGAACACCAGUGGCGAAGGCGGCUCACUGGACGACUGUUGACGCUGAGGUGCGAAAGCGUGGGGAGCAAACAGGAUUAGAUACCCCCGUAGUCCCUGUCUCUUAUAC
This 301-nucleotide ribosomal RNA is filed under the name uncultured bacterium. Its description in RNAcentral is "partial 16S ribosomal RNA". It matches the Rfam family "Bacterial small subunit ribosomal RNA", at positions 509 to 807 of the family's 1533-position model. The record is from RNAcentral.